RNAcentral lists this unclassified non-coding RNA (859 nucleotides) under Hevea brasiliensis (rubber tree). Lineage: Eukaryota; Viridiplantae; Streptophyta; Magnoliopsida; Malpighiales; Euphorbiaceae. The record is from RNAcentral.
AAUUUUGUAUUCUCCUUGUUGUUGAGGUGCAAAGUGUCAAAUAACUGAAAUGAUUGACUGGAAAAAGCCAUUAGUGAAGCAGUCGGUAAACGAGAUAGUGCAUCUGCGGCAAGGUUGUGUUUUCCUGGCCGAUAUACAAUUUCAAAAUCAUAUCCCACGAGUUUGCUUAACCACUUUUAUUGCUCUGGGGUCUGGAUUACUUGACCAGUGAGACUCUUAAGAGCCUGUUGAUCAGUGAUUAUAGUAAAACGUCUCCCUAAUAGAUUUGGCGCCAUUUGCUAACAUAUUGAGUGAUAGCCAACAUUUCGCGCACAUAAGUGGAAGCCUGUUGCAUUCUCGGGCAUAACUUUUGGCUGAAAUAGGCAACAGGAUGUCCUUUUUUAGAGAGAACAACCCCAAUGCCCAUCCCAGAGUCAUCAGUUUCAACCUGGAAUGGUUGACUAAAGUCAGGCAAUGCUAACACUGGUGUAGAGCUGAGACAACUCUUAAGUUUCUUGAAUGCAUCUUGAGCUUCAGGAGUCCAAGAGUAAGAAUCAGUACGUAGUAAAUCAGUCAACGGACUUGCAAGCAUAGCAUAGUUGCGGAUGAAACGUCUGUAGUAUCCCGCUAACCCCAAGAAGCUACGAACUUCCUUGAUAUUGCGAGGGUCAGGCUAGUGUUAGAUAGUGUUAAUCUUUGACGGAUCCACUAUCAACCCAUGUUGGGAUAACACAUGACCCAAGUAAUCCACGGUCUUUUGCCUAAACGCACAUUUGGAGAGCUUGGCAACCAACUGAUGUUCUCGUAAAGUGGAUAGGACCAAUUAAAGAUGAUCCAAGUGAAGCUUCCAGGAAGGACUAUAUAUCAAAAUGUCAUCAAA